RNAcentral lists this ribosomal RNA (696 nucleotides) under uncultured bacterium. Its description in RNAcentral is "bacterial SSU rRNA". It matches the Rfam family "Bacterial small subunit ribosomal RNA", at positions 111 to 823 of the family's 1533-position model. The record is from RNAcentral.
UAACGCGUGAGUAACCUGCCUUUCAGAGGGGGAUAACGUUCUGAAAAGAACGCUAAUACCGCAUAACAUCAAUUUAUCGCAUGAUAGGUUGAUCAAAGGAGCAAUCCGCUGGAAGAUGGACUCGCGUCCGAUUAGCCAGUUGGCGGGGUAACGGCCCACCAAAGCGACGAUCGGUAGCCGGACUGAGAGGUUGAACGGCCACAUUGGGACUGAGACACGGCCCAGACUCCUACGGGAGGCAGCAGUGGGGGAUAUUGCACAAUGGGGGAAACCCUGAUGCAGCAACGCCGCGUGAGGGAAGAAGGUUUUCGGAUUGUAAACCUCUGUUCUUAGUGACGAUAAUGACGGUAGCUAAGGAGAAAGCUCCGGCUAACUACGUGCCAGCAGCCGCGGUAAUACGUAGGGAGCGAGCGUUGUCCGGAUUUACUGGGUGUAAAGGGUGCGUAGGCGGCGAGGCAAGUCAGGCGUGAAAUCUAUGGGCUUAACCCAUAAACUGCGCUUGAAACUGUCUUGCUUGAGUGAAGUAGAGGUAGGCGGAAUUCCCGGUGUAGCGGUGAAAUGCGUAGAGAUCGGGAGGAACACCAGUGGCGAAGGCGGCCUACUGGGCUUUAACUGACGCUGAAGCACGAAAGCAUGGGUAGCAAACAGGAUUAGAUACCCUGGUAGUCCAUGCCGUAAACGAUAAUUACUAGGUGU